This 217-nucleotide unclassified non-coding RNA is filed under the name Hevea brasiliensis (rubber tree). Lineage: Eukaryota; Viridiplantae; Streptophyta; Magnoliopsida; Malpighiales; Euphorbiaceae. The record is from RNAcentral.
AUUUAACCAUGAUUUGGUCUCUUUGUCAUAAGCCACAACUAGGAAGGCACACUAGAGAAGUUACAGAUCUAACACCGAAUAGAGGGUGCCUAUGUAUAUGGCUUGUGGCUCUUUUUACUUCAAAGAGCAAGGUUUGUCAAUGGCGGCUAGAAAGGUUCCACAGGGUUAAAGUCCAAGAAAAAGACAAAGAAGAGGAAGAAAGGAAGAGCUAACAGGG